RNAcentral lists this ribosomal RNA (744 nucleotides) under uncultured bacterium. RNAcentral's name for it is "bacterial SSU rRNA". It matches the Rfam family "Bacterial small subunit ribosomal RNA", at positions 8 to 796 of the family's 1533-position model. The record is from RNAcentral.
AGAGUUUGAUCAUGGCUCAGAACGAACGCUGGCGGCAGGCCUCAAACAUGCAAGUCUAGGGGGCGUAGCAAUACGUCACCGGCGGACGGGUGCGUAACACGUGGGAAUGUACUUAUUGGUUCGGAACAACUCAGGGAAACUUGAGCUAAUACCGAAUGUGCCCGAAAGGGGAAAGAUUUAUCGCCAAUAAAUCAGCCCGCGUCCGAUUAGCUAGUUGGCGGGGUAAAGGCCCACCAAGGCGACGAUCGGUAGCUGUUCUGAGAGGAAGAUCAGCCACACUGGGACUGAGACACGGCCCAGACUCCUACGGGAGGCAGCAGUUGGGAAUCUUGGACAAUGGGGGAAACCCUGAUCCAGCCAUGCCGCGUGAGUGAUGAAGGCCUUCGGGUUGUAAAACUCUUUCGACGGGGACGAUAAUGACGGUACCCGUAGAAGAAGCUCCGGCUAACUUCGUGCCAGCAGCCGCGGUAAUACGAAGGGGGCUAGCGUUGUUCGGAAUUACUGGGCGUAAAGCGUGCGCAGGCGGUUCUUCAAGUCAGUGGUGAAAGCCCGGAGCUCAACUCCGGAACUGCCAUUGAAACUGUAGAGCUCGAGUACGAGAGAGGUGAGUGGAAUUCCCAGUGUAGAGGUGAAAUUCGUAGAUAUUGGGAAGAACACCGGUGGCGAAGGCGGCUCACUGGCUCGUAACUGACGCUCAUGCACGACAGCGUGGGGAUCAAACAGGAUUAGAUACCCUGGUAGUCC